RNAcentral lists this ribosomal RNA (253 nucleotides) under uncultured bacterium. RNAcentral's name for it is "partial 16S ribosomal RNA". It matches the Rfam family "Bacterial small subunit ribosomal RNA", at positions 524 to 776 of the family's 1533-position model. The record is from RNAcentral.
UACGGGGGGGGCAAGCGUUGUUCGGAAUUACUGGGCGUAAAGGGCUCGUAGGUGGCCAACUAAGUCAGACGUGAAAUCCCUCGGCUUAACCGAGGAACUGCGUCUGAUACUGGAUGGCUUGAGUUUGGGAGAGGAAUGCGGAAUUCCAGGUGUAGCGGUGAAAUGCGUAGAGAUCGGGAGGAACAUCCGUGGCGAAGGCAGCUCGCUGGGACGGUACUGACGCUGAGACGCGAAAGCGUGGGGAGCAAACAGG